Molecule: long non-coding RNA, 425 nt
Filed under: Nicotiana benthamiana
Lineage: Eukaryota; Viridiplantae; Streptophyta; Magnoliopsida; Solanales; Solanaceae
Description: long non-coding RNA (NBEN_LNC042232)
Source: RNAcentral
AAGAAGUUCAUAGUAAGCACAUAUCUAAGAUAGAUCUGAAAGAAAAUUGAAAGGUCUUAGAGCUAGGGCUUUAGAAAACCCAGAAAAGGUGAGAAAGACUUUGAAAGUUACUGAUCUAGUCAGAAAAGUCAAAGAUUUGACUUGAACAACCACUGAUGGUCAGAGAAAGACCAGGGAUGGCCAGAGAAAGGCCAUGAAUGGAUGUUGAGCAAGGGCUGGACCAGAUCUCUUUGAGAUCUGGCCAUGAAAUCACACAAACGGCCACCAUGAGAUGUAGGAGGCCGGUAUACACCUCAAACGCCUCUGUGAGACCAUGGAUUAGGCGGUGAUUGAGGUGGAUUAGGGUGGAAUUAAUUGGCGGUGGCUAGGGUUCAUAUGAGGUUGCAGAGAGAAUUGGGAGAAGAAGAGAAUUCAAAGACGGCGGG